UCAGAGGUCCAUGCUAUAUGAGCUUGUGAUCUCCACCAUCUUGUGGCUCAAGCUUGUAACAACAUUUUCAAAUUCAUAUCACUGUUGUACUGUACUGAGCUUUACUCUAUCAAAAUGAACUGGGUGCUAACUACUCUGGGUGCCAAGACUAAAUUGUAAAAAACUGUAAAAAACUGAAAAGAAAUGAGUAUGUAUUUCAAGGAACCAAUAACGUAUACAACUACUGUUCAGCGAACACCAGACUGAGGUAAAGGCAGUUACAUGGGGAAAGGUUUUAUGACUAUAUGGGUGUUGGGUACAAGGACAAUGCUGCAUUGGGCCACAUUCCAGCUCCAUCCCUGGGCAACCAUACCCUACUAUACAUUUACAUUUUACAUUUUAGUCAUUUAGCAGACGCUCUUAUCCAGAGCGACUUACAAAUUGGAAGAAGGAACAACAUCUAAUGCCGAAACCCGGGAUUGAACCAGGGACCUUUAGAUCUUCAGUCUAACGCUCUCCCAACUGAGCUAUAGACUUCUACUCUAGUCAACCAGCAAGUGAGAGAGACAGACAGGUCUGGCAUUGACUCUUUCAGUGAAGGGAUGUGAACGUAAGGAGUAAAGCACAGAGCACGGAGUCCAACUUAGAGGCAUAAUAAUGAAAAAGGGGUGUUAAGUGUCAUUCGCCACAUGCUAACUAUAGUUUUGUUACGAUUUACAGUUUGAACUAAAAAUAUAAAACAAAAGCCCAUUAAACGGAUGGUUAAAUUUGCACUUUGUUAUGCAACCACUCUCAUCUGUUUGAAAACCUUUCACAGAUCUUUGUGUAACAGAGUAAGUGCUGUUCCCGACCUGACCUGGUAUCGAACCCGGGACCCUCUGCAAAACAAUACUUCAUACUCACAAAGCAGUGUUCUUACUAACCAAUUGCUCUACCAUAACCAUGGUCUUGGUUGAGCAAGGGCAAUGUUACUUCAAGUCUCAAGGUUGACUUUGACAGCAAGUGAAGCAGAUAGUAUGGUAAGGUCACUGUUUAAAGCAAUAACCAGUACACUAUUUGUAGUUGUAUUUAUUAAGGAUCCCCAUUAGCUGUUGCCAAGACAGCAGCUACUCUUCCUGGGGUCCAGAAACAUUAAGGCAGUUAUGUGCAAUUUUAAAUAUUCCAUGACAUUACAUUUCAUAACACUUUCCACAACACAUUACGUGUGUUCCCUCAGGCCACUACUGUACUACCACAUAUCGACAAUACAAAAUCAAUGUGUACGUGUGUGUAGAGUGCGUGUCUUAUCAUGUGUAUGUGUAGGCAUGCAAGAACCCUUUUCACAGAGGGUUCUACCUGGAACCCUAAAGGCUUUGUCAAAGGGUUCUUCCAUGGGCAAGCCGAAGAACUCUUUGGAACCCUUUUUUCUAAGAGUGUACAAUUCAUGUGACUUAACAAAUUGAAUCAAUUAUUGGGUGAAUGAUUGAUCAAAUACACCUUUUUCAUUCAUUAGUGGCCAUUUAUAAGGAUUUAUAUGUAUAUCUGUUUGUUGUAAUGUGGCUAGAGUUAUAUGCCUGGCUGGUACCUUUAGUAGGCAACGGAUGGCACUGCCAGGGGUGAUGCCCAUGUCGGUCAGGGCUCAGAGGUCCUGAAGGAUGGCACCAGUUCCAGGAAGUGCCUCGCCUGCUUGUCAUCUGACAGUUGCACAUGGAAGUAAUCCUGCCAGAAAGAGAUGGAGUGUCCCAUACAGUCAGAGAAAGAGGGCUCAACACUGAUGGAACAGUAAUGGAGGGUGUCCCACACAUACAGAGCCAUUAUGGAGGGUGUUCCACUCAGACAGAGCAACAACCACAUGGCAGUGAUGGCGUUAACAGAGGAAGCAAAUGAAGGUAGGCUAGUUGAGAACAAGUUCUCAUUUACAACUGCGACCUGGCCAAGACAAAGCAAAGCAGUGUGACACAGACAACAACACAGAGUUACACAUGGAGUAAACAAUAAACAAGCCAAUAACACAAUAAACAUGACUGGUUUCACAUUUGUCUCCAGCUAUUAUAAGGUAAAAUAUAUCUAAAACAAGUGUAAUUUAUAUGUACAAUUCAUAGAAAUACCCCCAUUAUCCAUGCACUGUUGUUAUGUCACAGAUAUAUGGCAUUUCAAGAAGCUGAUAAAACAGCAUGAUCAUUACACAGGUGCACCUUGUGCUGGGGACAAUAAAAGGCCACUCUAAAAUGUGCAGUUUUGUCACACAACACAACGCCACACAUGUCUCAAGUUUUGCGGGAGUGUGCAAUUGGAAUGCUGACUGCAGGAAUGUCCACCAGAGCUGUUGACCCCAAAAAUGUUUUAUGUUCAUUACUCUACCAUAAGCCGCCUCAAACGUUGUUUUAGAGAAUUUGGCAGUAUGUCCAACCGGCCUCACAACCGCAGACUACGUGUAACCACUCCAACUCAGGACCUCCACAUCUGGCUUCUUCACCUGCGGGAUUGUCAGAGACCAGCCACCCGAAAAGCUGAUUAAACUGUGGGUUUGUACAACCAAAUAAUUUCUAUCAGAAACAGCCUGAGCCUCCAGCGACGUCCCCCAGUCCAGAGUCUUCAGCGACGGUCCGCUGUCCGGAGUCUUCAGCGACGGUCCGCUGUCCGGAGUCUUCAGCGGCGUUUCGCAGUCCGGAGUCUCCAGCGGCGGUCCGCAGUCCGGAGUCUCCAGCGGCGGUCCGCAGUCCGGAGUCUCCAGCGGCGGUCCGCAGUCCAGAGUCUCCAGCGGGGCUUUCAUGUUCAGAGCCUCCGGCGAUGAUUCAUGGUCCAGUUCCUCCGGCGAUGAUCCAUGGUCUGGUUAAACAAAAGCGGAGGGAUCAGCGGGCGGAGUGGGGGCUACGCCCCGAACCGGAGCCGCCUCCAAGGAUAGAUGCCCACCCGGACCCUCCCC
Molecule: long non-coding RNA, 2884 nt
Filed under: Salmo salar (Atlantic salmon)
Lineage: Eukaryota; Metazoa; Chordata; Actinopteri; Salmoniformes; Salmonidae
Description: lncRNA (ENSSSAG00000121878.1)
Source: RNAcentral